Molecule: long non-coding RNA, 246 nt
Organism: Electrophorus electricus (electric eel)
Lineage: Eukaryota; Metazoa; Chordata; Actinopteri; Gymnotiformes; Gymnotidae
Source: RefSeq, a predicted model, not a curated record
GGGCUAUAAAGCCGAACAGUCGACUGUUCUUAGAUUUGUUCGAUUCUGGUUCGAUUCUGUAAUUAUGGGGUCGUUGUACCCCUGAAUGUAAUACAGCUAAUAACUUAACAUAAUAACUUAUGGAAUAACUUAUGGAUCAUAAUAUUUCUGAGGGGGACUCGGUCGAGGUCGACGUCUCUACUCUUCUUAACGGCCCCAGCUGCUACUAAAUAUGUCAACAGACAGGAAGCUGGAGCUUCUGGCAGG